UGGGGAAUUUUGCACAAUGGGGGAAACCCUGAUGCAGCGACGCCGCGUGAUUUAGAAGGCCUUCGGGUUGUAAAAAUCUUUUCUAUGGGAAGAAAAUGACAGUACCAUAGGAAUAAGGACCGGCUAAUUACGUGCCAGCAGCCGCGGUAAUACGUAAGGUCCGAGCGUUGUCCGGAAUCAUUGGGCGUAAAGGGUACGUAGGCGGGUAAGCAAGUUAGAAGUGAAAUCCUAUAGCUCAACUAUAGUAAGCUUUUAAAACUGCUCAUCUUGAGGUAUGGAAGGGAAAGUGGGAUUCCUAGUGUAGCGGUGAAAUGCGCAGAUAUUAGGAGGAAUACCGGUGGCGAAGGCGACUUUCUGGCCAUAACCUGACGCUGAGGUACGAAAGCGUGGGUAGCUAACAGG
RNAcentral lists this ribosomal RNA (402 nucleotides) under bacterium. RNAcentral's name for it is "partial 16S ribosomal RNA". It matches the Rfam family "Bacterial small subunit ribosomal RNA", at positions 355 to 776 of the family's 1533-position model. The record is from RNAcentral.